RNAcentral lists this ribosomal RNA (254 nucleotides) under uncultured bacterium. RNAcentral's name for it is "partial 16S ribosomal RNA". It matches the Rfam family "Bacterial small subunit ribosomal RNA", at positions 524 to 776 of the family's 1533-position model. The record is from RNAcentral.
UACGGGGGGAGCAAGCGUUGUUCGGAUUUACUGGGCGUAAAGGGCGCGUAGGCGGUCGUGACAAGUCACUUGUGAAAUCUCCGGGCUUAACUCGGAACGGUCAAGUGAUACUGUCGGACUAGAGUACAGAAGGGGCAACUGGAAUUCUCGGUGUAGCGGUGAAAUGCGUAGAUAUCGAGAGGAAUACCGAUGGCGAAGGCAGGUCUCUGGGCUGACACUGACGCUCAUGCACGAAAGCGUGGGGAGCAAACAGG